UAAACUCUCAAAAUUGUAACCGAU
This 24-nucleotide small nuclear RNA is filed under the name Arabidopsis thaliana (thale cress). RNAcentral describes it as "snRNA_01779". Lineage: Eukaryota; Viridiplantae; Streptophyta; Magnoliopsida; Brassicales; Brassicaceae. The record is from RNAcentral.